AUGAAAAAACAGAGGGAUGAUCCAUUACUGCGUUUUGAAGGGGACACAGAUGUUGAGGAUAUGUGGUCUACAGAUGAGGAGGAGGAACUGUAUGAUCCAUCAGGUGAAGAAGAGGAUGAUGAUGAUCAAGAGGAGGAGGAAUUGGAGGAAUUGGAGGAAGUGGAGGAAGUGGUGCAAGGGGAGCAACACAAUGAAGAGGAGCAAGAGAAGAACACAAAGACAGAUAGUAGGGACAUUGACCCUCCAGUCUUCAAAGAACACAAAGGCAGAGCACAAACUAAGAGAAGAAAGGGCAGACAUGAGAAGCCGGCUCCAAAAGACACUUCAAGGAUGGCCUCAAUCACUUGUUCUAAUUGCAGCAAAGUUGGCCAUAGGUACACCAACUGCAAUGUUGCUUUGAAGCCUGCACUAGCCAUGAGAAAGAACAGGCAUGAGCCAAGCACCUCUUCUUAUCCACCUGAUGCUGCUACUGCACCAGCACCAGCAAGAAGGGCUGCAUCUACUGCCACUGCACCAGCACCAGCAAGAAGGGCUGCAUCUACUGCCACUGCACCAGCACCACCAAGAAGGGCUGCAUCUACUGCCACUGCACCAGCACCACCAAGAAGGGUUGCAUCUACUGCCACUUCACCAUCACCAGCAAGAAGAACUCCAUCUUCUGCCACUGCACCAUCAACAAGAUCUGCUACUGCUGCAAAGGGUAAGGCUACAACCACUAGGGCUUCAACUGCUGCAAAGGGUAAGGCUACAUCCACUAGGGCUUCAACUGCUGCAAAGGGAGCAAGGGCAGCUUUCUUGCCUCCAAGACCAAACAGUGGUUCCCAGAGAGUCAGAAAGCCAACCCAGAAGAUCAAGGACUACCUGACUGCUUCUGGUGCAGCAUGGGAUUGA
This 891-nucleotide ribosomal RNA is filed under the name Triticum aestivum (bread wheat). Its description in RNAcentral is "partial small subunit ribosomal RNA". The record is from RNAcentral. Lineage: Eukaryota; Viridiplantae; Streptophyta; Magnoliopsida; Poales; Poaceae.